GUUCUGCUCUGUGUGAGGAAGCACCGGCUUAGUUUGAAUUUAAGCAAACUCAUCGUGCACUGAGAUCCAGGACUCCCACUGACUCACCGAUAGACGUAAUAUGCUGUAUGUACUCCUUCCCAAUCAAGGAAGCCAUUAUGAAGAAGGCCAGAGUGAGACCCUUUUGGGAGUACAGAGGAGCACAGGUAUCACUUUAUAAUGACCUGUCACCCCUCACGCUGGAGGCAUGACGCGCCCUGUGCCCUGUAAC
Molecule: long non-coding RNA, 250 nt
Filed under: Pelobates cultripes (western spadefoot toad)
Lineage: Eukaryota; Metazoa; Chordata; Amphibia; Anura; Pelobatidae
Source: RNAcentral